UUUUCAGUAUAAGUAUGUCCCAUGCACAAACUGGGAUAUACUUAUACUAAAA
Molecule: microRNA precursor, 52 nt
Filed under: Equus asinus (donkey)
Lineage: Eukaryota; Metazoa; Chordata; Mammalia; Perissodactyla; Equidae
Also listed under: 1 other name
Description: mir-1302 microRNA precursor family
Rfam family: mir-1302 microRNA precursor family
Source: Rfam by way of RNAcentral